UGCUUAUGUCAAAGGCCCCAAAUGGAGCUGUUCAACAGCAAAGUUAAGAUGGGAAUCAGCCCUCUGGACUCUUAAGCAAGGGCCCUAAUGGAAACCAAAGCCUACUGUACCUUUGGUUUGUGUAUAAGACAUAGCCAUUCUCAGGCUUCUACAAGGCACAGCUAAGCCAUUAUGGCUAAAUAAGACUCUCAAGACAAGACCAGAAAUGGAUUAGUCUCUAUCAUCAAAAUAUAUGGCCUAGACUCAAUGAAUCUGAAGUGACAGAGACUCCAGAAGCAAUUCUCCACAUUCUGGAAUCCCCCUACGCCCUCUGACAGAUAUAUUUCUUUUCUGCAGUUCUCAGAGUUAACAUUUCCAGGUAAAAGCGUAACCUGGUAACUGGGACACAAGCUGAGGUUUGAUGUGUGCCUGUGCACUGGCCUUGCCUUUUGGAAACCUGGGACCAUAAUACCGCGAAGAAGCUCACAGUAAGAAAGCAGAUGGAAAAAGAGAUCCUAUCCAGAGCUGUUCCAAGUGCUGAAUACUAUCACGUAAAUGAAUCCAGAGAUACAGAAGCAGAAGAAGCACCCAGCCAACUCUCAGAAUCACGGGAAAUAUUGUUGAUAUAUACCAGUGAGUUUUGGGGCUAUUUGUCAUGCAGCAUUAGACAAGUGACACAAGCAUAAAUAUGCAGAUACACUAUUAACAUCC
Suricata suricatta (meerkat) is the source of this 690-nucleotide long non-coding RNA. RefSeq lists it as uncharacterized. The transcript has 4 exons. Lineage: Eukaryota; Metazoa; Chordata; Mammalia; Carnivora; Herpestidae. The record is from RefSeq and is a predicted model, not a curated record.